Molecule: small nucleolar RNA, 199 nt
Filed under: Carlito syrichta (Philippine tarsier)
Lineage: Eukaryota; Metazoa; Chordata; Mammalia; Primates; Tarsiidae
Description: Small nucleolar RNA SNORA73 family (ENSTSYG00000020913.2)
Rfam family: Small nucleolar RNA SNORA73 family
About the family: U17 (SNORA73A and SNORA73B) also known as E1 belongs to the H/ACA class of small nucleolar RNAs (snoRNAs). Vertebrate U17 is intron-encoded and ranges in length from 200-230 nucleotides, longer than most snoRNAs.
Source: Rfam by way of RNAcentral
CUAAUGCAGAUAUUUUGGAUAAUCACUCGCUACAGACUCUGUCCAAGUAACUUAGGGGUGCAUAAGGCUCUGCCCCAUGGUUUACAGUCUCUUCACAACAUUGGAGAUGAGAAUGGGCAUGCUAUCUGCACCUGCAUAUUCCUACAGCUUCUGGGUCUGAUGGACAAUUGCUGGGGAGACAACCAUGCAGAAAACAUGU